UAUAUUGUGGUGGAGAAAGUGUUUCUGAGAUAAGAUAAUGAAGACUGAGGGCUAAGUAAAAUAUCAAUUGACAUGCUAAAAAAAUGCAUGUUGGUUUAGUGGUUGUAUGAUGGUUAGAAUUUUUCUAAAAUGAAAUUGUAGUGUUUAAGUGUAGUUCGUAGUUAGAGAAUGGGUUUGGUGGGGGUUUUGUAUGGAUGGAUUUUAUUAUGCGGAAUGUGAA
Molecule: unclassified non-coding RNA, 220 nt
Filed under: Hevea brasiliensis (rubber tree)
Lineage: Eukaryota; Viridiplantae; Streptophyta; Magnoliopsida; Malpighiales; Euphorbiaceae
Source: RNAcentral